This 498-nucleotide ribosomal RNA is filed under the name uncultured bacterium. RNAcentral describes it as "partial 16S ribosomal RNA". It matches the Rfam family "Bacterial small subunit ribosomal RNA", at positions 30 to 523 of the family's 1533-position model. The record is from RNAcentral.
AUUGAACGCUGGCGGCAUGCUUUACACAUGCAAGUCGAACGGUAACAGGCCGCAAGGUGCUGACGAGUGGCGAACGGGUGAGUAAUGCAUCGGAACGUGCCCAGUCGUGGGGGAUAACGCAGCGAAAGCUGUGCUAAUACCGCAUACGAUCUAUGGAUGAAAGCGGGGGACCGUAAGGCCUCGCGCGAUUGGAGCGGCCGAUGUCAGAUUAGGUAGUUGGUGGGGUAAAGGCUCACCAAGCCAACGAUCUGUAGCUGGUCUGAGAGGACGACCAGCCACACUGGGACUGGGAGACGGCCCGAACUCCUACGGGAGGCAGCAGUGGGGAAUUUUGGACAAUGGGCGCAAGCCUGAUCCAGCAAUGCCGCGUGCAGGAAGAAGGCCUUCGGGUUGUAAACUGCUUUUGUACGGAACGAAAAGGUUUGGGUUAAUACCCUGGGCCGAUGACGGUACCGUAAGAAUAAGCACCGGCUAACUACGUGCCAGCCGCCGCCGUAA